RNAcentral lists this RNase P RNA (177 nucleotides) under Treponema sp. RNAcentral describes it as "partial RNase P RNA component class A". It matches the Rfam family "Bacterial RNase P class A", at positions 1 to 178 of the family's 367-position model. Rfam says of the family: Ribonuclease P (RNase P) is a ubiquitous endoribonuclease, found in archaea, bacteria and eukarya as well as chloroplasts and mitochondria. The record is from RNAcentral. Lineage: Bacteria; Pseudomonadati; Spirochaetota; Spirochaetia; Treponematales; Treponemataceae.
GCGAUGAACCAGGCUGCCGCUAUACAAUUGUAUAGAGGAAAGUCCGGGCUCCGCAGGGCAUGAUGCCGGGUAACGUCCGGGAGGAAGAUCGAAAGGUCUUUCGACAGAAAGCGCAACAGAAAGCAAACCGCCCAGCCCAGUGCUGGGUAAGGGUGAAAGGGUAGGGUAAGAGCCUAC